CCCGGUAUCCUUCUGCCUGUGACUCCAGGGAACAGCCAGGAGGAGAGGAGUAAGUACGCUGGGACUUACAGAGCAAGUGACUGACCUUCAGAGACCAAAGCAGAAAUAAAUAAAGAUGCCAAGACCAAAGAUCA
This is a long non-coding RNA of Pipra filicauda (Wire-tailed manakin), 134 nucleotides long. RefSeq lists it as uncharacterized. The record is from RefSeq and is a predicted model, not a curated record. Lineage: Eukaryota; Metazoa; Chordata; Aves; Passeriformes; Pipridae. The transcript has 2 exons.